This 930-nucleotide ribosomal RNA is filed under the name Echinoderma asperum. RNAcentral's name for it is "partial large subunit ribosomal RNA". It matches the Rfam family "Eukaryotic large subunit ribosomal RNA", at positions 43 to 960 of the family's 3401-position model. The record is from RNAcentral. Lineage: Eukaryota; Fungi; Basidiomycota; Agaricomycetes; Agaricales; Agaricaceae.
UCAAUAAGCGGAGGAAAAGAAACUAACAAGGAUUCCCCUAGUAACUGCGAGUGAAGCGGGAAAAGCUCAAAUUUAAAAUCUGGCGGUCUUUGGCCGUCCGAGUUGUAAUCUAGAGAAGUGUUACCCGCGCUGGACCGUGUACAAGUCUCCUGGAAUGGAGCGUCAUAGAGGGUGAGAAUCCCGUCUCUGACACGGACUCCCAGGGCUUUGUGGUAUGCUCUCAAAGAGUCGAGUUGUUUGGGAAUGCAGCUCUAAAUGGGUGGUAAAUUCCAUCUAAAGCUAAAUAUUGGCGAGAGACCGAUAGCGAACAAGUACCGUGAGGGAAAGAUGAAAAGAACUUUGGAAAGAGAGUUAAACAGUACGUGAAAUUGCUGAAAGGGAAACGCUUGAAGUCAGUCGCGUUGACCAGGGAUCAGCCUCGCAUUUGCGUGGUGCACUUUCUGGUUGACGGGUCAGCAUCAAUUUUGGCCACUGGAAAAAGUCCUGAGGAAUGUGGCAGCUCCGGCUGUGUUAUAGCCUCUGGUCGCAUACAGUGGUUGGGAUUGAGGAACUCAGCACGCCGCAAGGCCGGGUUUCGACCACGUCCGUGCUUAGGAUGCUGGCAUAAUGGCUUUAAGCGACCCGUCUUGAAACACGGACCAAGGAGUCUAACAUGCCUGCGAGUGUUUGGGUGGAAAACCCGAGCGCGCAAUGAAAGUGAAAGUUGAGAUCCCUGUCGUGGGGAGCAUCGACGCCCGGACCAGAACUUUUGGGACGGAUCCGCGGUAGAGCAUGUAUGUUGGGACCCGAAAGAUGGUGAACUAUGCCUGAAUAGGGUGAAGCCAGAGGAAACUCUGGUGGAGGCUCGUAGCGAUUCUGACGUGCAAAUCGAUCGUCAAAUUUGGGUAUAGGGGCGAAAGACUAAUCGAACCAUCUAGUAGCUGGUUCUGC